CCCCGCCAUCACACACCACCACCACCACGUCACAGAUCCACCCCAAUCACCGUCAACCACCCCCGCCAUCACACGCCACAACACACCACCACCACGUCACAGAUCCACCCCCAUCUCCACCUCUUUCUAUAUAUACUCCUCAUAAUUUACCCUAACUCAGCCGCAACUACUCCUUUCCCCUUUCUCUCUCUACAAACCCCCAAUUCUUCAUUUCACAAACCCUAAUUACUCCUUCAAUUUCUGUUCUGUUUCAUCUUACCCGCCAAAAAAAGAAUGUGCGCCCUGCACCCAAAUCUUUUCUUGGACAAACCCUUUUCAUCAUUUGACCUGAAUCUGGAGUAUGACCCUAGAUCAAAUCAGAUCAGGUUCAAGAAAAAAAUCAAGAAAAUGAUAAAGAAAAUGAUCAUGAAAAUGGGUAUGUGGAUGAAGAGGAAAAUGAAGAAGAAGAAGAUGGGAUUUUGUGUGCAGUAUGUCAAAGCACAGAUGGGGAUGCAAAAGACCCAAUUGUAUUUUGUGAUGGGUGUGAUCUAAUGGUGCACACCACUUGUUAUGGUGCACCACUCAAAGAAUUAAAUAUGAUUUUAGGUUUUGAUGAAUACCCAUUUGAUGAAGCGACCAAAUUGAAGAAAUGGAGGAGACGAUUAGGGUCAACUCGUUGCUUGUGAUGAAGAACAGAUUGUAAGGCAUUUGGAUUUAGGUUAUUGAGGAGAUUUGGGGAUGAAUUGAGGAGGUGGGGCCAAUUGCGGUUUUUGAGAAUUGUUGUGAUUUCAUUGACUGUUUUGUCGUUGGUUCCUGAGGUGUUUGUUGACGAUUUUCUUGAGUCAAAUGAUCAACACUUCACAGAAACAAAGUUAUAACUUCAAUCAAUGGCGAUUGAUGUUUGUUCUUUGAAGCUUGGACUGCUGAUGGAAAUAAUUGAAUCCGCUACAUCUCUUCUUCACCGAUUCAUCAUUGAUAAUCAAAGAUAUGACUGAUGAAGGUGGGAACCCGACCUGGAAGAACCGAAUUGAAAGUUGGAAAGAUAAGAAGAAUAAGAAGAAAAGGGGGCGGUAAGGUUGCUAAAGAAGUUCAAGUGCCCGUAGAUCAACAUAUUGAAGAAAAGCAGCAAUCAGCAGACCCGAAUGCAAUGCAACCACUUUCACAAAUAAUUCCAAUUCUGAAAAGCCAAAUCGCACCCUACCGGACUGUUUUGAGCCCUACACUUCCAAUAUCUACAGCCGUCGGGUUUUAAGUGGUGAGUUUGUUGUGCUGAACGAGCAUUUGCUGCAUGAUUUUAACUGAGAUGGUUCUUUGGUCACCCACCCUCAAGAACCAGAUCAUAUAUGGUUCAAGUCAGCGAUGGAGACAGUGGAUUCCAGCUUGCUUUUAUGAUUAUGUGAUGCCACCCAUAACCCUAAUAUCCAUUAAUGUUAUUAUAUUUCUGUAGUGCGUGCAGUUGUUUUUGGAUUUCAUAUGCAAGUGUUCUAUUUGCAUCCUCUGGUUAGCUUGCUGAAUCAAAUCACUUUAACAAAAGUGGAUCAUUAGUUUGUCUAAGAAUCAAAAACUGAUUAUUGCAACUACAAGUCACAAUAAUUCCUUCCGGCGCGUACACAACUACCACCAGCAAAGCAAAACUGAAAAUGAGAAGUCUACGGGUGACAUCUAGAGUUGAUUUUGUUGUCUUAAGGUGGUUAUAAGGGUGUGCACCGCGAGUUCCAGGCAUUUUCAACCAAAAUAUUUAAUUAUUUUUCAACUAAUCAUCAGAGUGUUCAAAUGUUGUGGUGUAUUACCAAUUUAUUAAUGAUCAUGGUGUGAUCUCUAUAAUCUUGGAGUACAUGGAUGGGGGAUUUUUGGCUGAUUUUCUAAAAAAAAUGUUAUAUCAAUUCUUGAACCUUACCUUAUCUUGUAGUCGUCUCUAAGCAGGUCAGAAAUCUGCAUUUUUUGUUUCAAAUGUGUGUUUAAUAGGCGUUAAAAAAAUUACCUUCCAUUUUUCCUGUAGGGACACUUUUGUCCAAAAAAGCUGUAGGGACACUUUUGUCCGAAAAAGAUUGGAGCGUUAUGAGUAAUCAAUAUAUACUUUUGUAGGUUUGCUCUCUGAAGUAAAAGAUACCCACAACAAGCUCGAAAGACUUAUAAACAUGCUUAACACGUGGAUCCGGCUGAUGUGCAGAGAUUUGUUUCCAUAGCUUGUGUGUUUAGGAAGCUCGGUGGCCAGUCUGAACCCCUGGCCUGAAGCUUCUUGAACAAGGGGUUACGGGUCGAUAGGAUGCACUCUUUAGAUUGGUAUAAUCUAGGCAUACUGCUUAGAGAUGGGAGCUCAAUGGCCCUAAGACGUAAAAAACAGUCUGCUAUUGGAUUUGGAAGAUGCGAUUGCAUAUUCAGACCAGAUGGGACAUUGCAUGUUCCUGAAUUUUCAGGUUCCAACAAAUCCGACUACGGUGUUGGCUAUUAAGAUUACGAUGGUUGUGGUAUCCUGUACAAUGGGGUUAGGGUUUCACAUUUGAUUUUAAUAUGUCUACAUCACAAAUCAGCAAUGCAAUUACGUACACAGGUUUCUAGAAUGUGAGGAUAUAUAAUUAUUAGGUACCGAACCUUAUCCACUUUCAUGCGCCCUCUGUUGGAAAUGAAUCGUGGAAGCUGGCAACUGAUGCUGCUUAUGGUAACCCGCUCAACCUGUUUGACCCAUCUCAUUUAGUUAAGAUUUAAAUUUGGCUAUUUUCCAGCUAGAUCCGUAAUAUCUCCGGAUAGGAUUUUGUACCUAGGUUGUUUUUCAUGACCAAUUUACUUUUAAAAGUUGAUCGAAACUCGCUUUCUUACUUCCAAAUGACAGGUUAACAGUUUUUUUUUUCAAAAUAGACGAUCCUCAUGCUUUGUUGUAAACACUUUUUAGGUAGCUAUAGCCUAUAGGUGUUGGCUAGCAUCUUAUGUGUGUACAUAAAGUGUAAAUGGGCUGCUUGUGAAUAUUGUAACAAACCCAUAUGAAGCCCACAAAACAUACACUAUAAUAGCAUUGAAAGAAGACUAGGUCGUUAAGAUUUGAUUUUUGAUUGCAAGAGUAAUCAUCUGAAAUUCUUGUAGACUUUGUGAGUCAACUAAUUGCUAGCUUGAUUAUGGUUUUUUGUUGUAGUGUUUAAGAGAUCGUCUUGUGAUGAGUUUUUGAAAUUUUGGUUUGAGAAAUUUAGUGUAGAAAUUUGAACUUUGAACGUCAAGAACAAGAUGCUCAACUGAUAGCAGGAUUCUGGAGUAGUAGGCAAGGUAUUUGCAGAGAGAAGCUGCAAGACCAACUAAAAGGAAGAAGACGAUAGAAAUAGAAGGCGCUAAAACGAAAAGCCUCUAAACCCUAAUUUCAAUUUCAACUCUCUGCCUCUUCACACGCUUCUUUUAUUCCUUCCUUUUCUCUCAACUGUAUCAUUCAACUUGGAUCAUUCAUGAAGACGAAGAAGGCGUUCCGCCUGUUACGCUCUCGAUCCUGCGGAUGCUCUUACGUGAUCCUCAUGUGGUUAAAAGAGGUCCAUUUCACGUUUUUGUUUGAGGUGAAGAGGUCAGAUUUAUGCUUCAGUUUGACUAUAUACUGGUGCUAAAACUUUGAUCCAUUUGGCGUGGGGGCUCAGUUGCUACCUUUAUGUUCGGUAUUGCAUCUACUACUUUUCAAGGUCAAACAUGGACAGGGCUUGGAUUUGCAAUAAACGGAUUGAUGAACUAAUGUGUCGAAACUAUGAUUUUGUUUUUUCAAUCGAUUUUAUCAGAAUCCUUUUGGAGUCAUGGAGAAGAUGUCCCAUUGAAAGAUGCAUUACUGAUUUGUUGAGCUUGAACAUGCUAUAAACCCGAACUUGCUAUUCUAUCCUAAAAGAUGCCCCCAUCCAAGGUUUCGUGUUUGGCUGAAUUCUAGAAGUUGGAGAGACUAGACCUCACCUUCAAUAAUCUGUUGUCACACGAGAUUAAUGGAUGUUCAAGCAAAGAAGAAGGCGCUGUAUCGUGCUAAAUUGAAAGCACAAAACCAGGACAAACGUAUUGAUUCUCCUCUUGUAAGGUUAACUAUUUGAGGUGUGGCAGUGAAUCGACCUUUUCAUAGUUGUUGAUGUUGGAGGUUAAUGGUCAAACUGCAACAUCUUAUUGGCUGCAUUAUCGGCCUGUUGGAAUUUAAUGGUUAACGGAUGUCAAACAAGUCCUGCAACCAAAAGAUUAGACACAUUAGUUAGAAUGAUGGCGGCGGUUAGCGUUUCUUCAAGCUAUUGAUAGCGGCUGUUGUUGUUGCAAUUCGGAGAAGAAUCAACUACUAAUCCAGUUUGUACUUUCGUAUCUUGCUAAGAUGUUUCCUGGUGAAGGUUAGUUUUUGUUUUACAAUGUUCAUCUCUAUGAUGUCAUUAAUACUGAUUGCCAUACUAGAGAUUUUUGUCACUAAAUAGAUUCACAUGUUAGCAAUUGUGUAGACUUUGACUUUAAAGGUCAAUCAAGCUACUUUUUAGAUACAAAUAUGAUAUGAAUUUUGUUAGACAUCAGUUUGUAGUUUGUACUCAUGCAUCCUAGAAUAGGAUCCACAUACAAUUUUUGUUAGGAUGCAAUCAGAUAGGAGGGUAUAGUGGAUUGGGUAACGGGUCAAACACGGUUGUGUUACAAAAAGUCGUUUUAGAGAAAUAUUUUUGAAAGUUUUUUAGACCAACGAGUUUCGUUCACAAAUUUGGGUAUUGAUUUCGAGUGGAAUAGUUGGUGUCCAAUCAAGAUUAAUUUCUUGGUUUGGAGGCUGAUUCAAGACCGGAUUCCUACUGCGGUCGCUCUUGAAAGAAGAAAUGUUUAUUUGCCUUGCACCCUGUGUAAGCUAUGCAAUGAAGACGAAGAAACGGCACUCCAUACAAAUAUGUGUACAAAGAUUUAAAAACAAUAUAAAGCAAGAUUAGCUAUUGAUAUAAAGGAAAGAAAGGAUAUCAAAGUCUUAAAGAUGUCUUACCCAAGCAAAUCAUGCUUUUCAUUACCAUUAAAUUUAAUGCACUCUAUCCUGAUAUGUAUUUUGUGAGACUGAAAGGGAUCAUAAUAUUGUUGGACUAAUCAUGUUUGUUUUGCAUAUGAAACGAGUUGGUGCAAAAGGAAACUUCGCGUACAAGGGUCUACAAUUCAGUGUAGUUGCUUCCGUGGUAACCCAGCAACAUGCAUUCUUGAAAGUUUGAACGGGUCAGGAGCGUCGAAACAGAGGAAAAUAAUUGUAUAUGGGGUAUUCCUCAAAACAUGUUGGAGAAUUUAGCAAUGCAGAAACGAUAAAGUGUUCAAAGGAGUGGCUACUUUAGUUAGCAAGGUGGUGGAGGAAGUAAAUGAAACAUCGUAUGCUUGGAUCCAGCACAUGUCAAAGAUUAUGAGUAUUUCGUGGAGUGAUUGGCGCAACUUUAAUUUAUCGUUUAGUGUCAUUUUUUUGUAUUCUUUUUGUGAUGUAACUCUGCUAGACUAUGUUUUGUUCUUGCUGUUCAGGUCUCCCUUAGUUCCUUGCUAAAUGGAUGUGUUUGGCUGGAUUAAUAAAGGUUUUCUUUGUUGUUUUUCUUUUACUUUUAAAUAUUAACUUCUAUUGUAACCUUAAUUACGACAUUGUAUUAGUUAUUAAUUAUAAAUUCCAAAAAUUAUAGGUACGUUAUUGUGGUAAAAUUAGAGCUAUCUAACCAAAUAUUUUAGCUAUUACAUUAUUUGUCUCAUUGUAGUUUACUAAUUUAUUAUUACUUCAACGGUUAUUUAAUUCAAACGAUUACUUCAAUAAAUUAAACUUAUUCAUUUGUGUUUUAGUCCACCCGCGAACCUCGCGGGUUCUUAAACUAGUUUAUUAUAUAGCAAUAGCGAACGACUCUUACAGAAUUUACGCCCCCUAUGGUAAAAUUUCCUAGGUCCGCCACUGAUAGGCACAAUGAGGGAGGAAGUUAUGGCGUGUUUUUGAUGAUUAUAUAAAUUUUAGUUUGAUAUUUUUUUGUUUUACAUGACCCGACCCGAACUGAAUUUUUAUUUAUAUAUCUAGGCGGCCUAAAAUUUUUAAAAAUAUUCCGCACCCCUAUGGAAAAAUUCCUGGGUCCGCCACUGAUUGGAUGGACCCGAUAAAGAACCAAAUAGAGAGUUUUUUCUGCUUCAAGGUGUUCGUUAUGUAUUUUUUAUAUCUUUAGGCAUUGCAAAAUGGGUGUGUUAGGCAAGUUCGACCGCUCACCAUUUUUCCUCUAUAUUUGUUUAUACGCAUAUUUCAGUUUUCUUGGAAAAGAAAUAUAUAUUUUGUUGUUUGACCGUCUGUUUUAUCUUUUUAUACAAACCUGAGUAAGAAGAUUGAAGGGGAGGAAGCUGCAAAUCGUGCUUCAUCGUUGCCUAUUUUGCUAUGUCAUGGUAAAGAUUGAGAAGUCAUUGCACGGGAUGCGUGCAGAAUCUGCAGAGGCAAAGGUUGCGGCUGAAGUUAAAUUAGUUGAUGCAUGGACUAUGAUGGAUGAUGCCAUAAAGAGGAUGACAGAAGCCAAUUCAAAGAUGCAAGCUGCGGAAUCUACAAAGA
Helianthus annuus (common sunflower) is the source of this 6481-nucleotide long non-coding RNA. RefSeq lists it as uncharacterized. The transcript is spliced from 21 exons. Lineage: Eukaryota; Viridiplantae; Streptophyta; Magnoliopsida; Asterales; Asteraceae. The record is from RefSeq and is a predicted model, not a curated record.